UGCGUAGGCGGCCAGAUCAGUCAGGCGUGAAAGUUUUCGGCUUAACCGGAAAAUUGCGUUUGAUACUGUUUGGCUAGAAUCAGGAUGAGGUUGGCGGAAUGUGGCAUGUAGCGGUGAAAUGCAUAGAUAUGCCAUAUAACACCGAUUGCGAAGGCAGCUGGCUGGACCUGAAUUGACGCUGAGGCACGAAAGCGUGGGGAGCGAACAGGAUUAGAUACCCUGGUAGUCC
RNAcentral lists this ribosomal RNA (229 nucleotides) under uncultured bacterium. Its description in RNAcentral is "partial 16S ribosomal RNA". It matches the Rfam family "Bacterial small subunit ribosomal RNA", at positions 568 to 796 of the family's 1533-position model. The record is from RNAcentral.